RNAcentral lists this ribosomal RNA (492 nucleotides) under uncultured bacterium. RNAcentral's name for it is "partial 16S ribosomal RNA". It matches the Rfam family "Bacterial small subunit ribosomal RNA", at positions 29 to 507 of the family's 1533-position model. The record is from RNAcentral.
AGUGAACGCUGGCGAUAGGCCUAACACAUGCAAGUCGAACGGCAGCACAGUAAGAGCUUGCUCUUACGGGUGGCGAGUGGCGGACGGGUGAGGAAUACAUCGGAAUCUACUUUUUCGUGGGGGAUAACGUAGGGAAACUUACGCUAAUACCGCAUACGACCUACGGGUGAAAGCAGGGGAUCUUCGGACCUUGCGCGAUUGAAUGAGCCGAUGUCGGAUUAGCUAGUUGGCGGGGUAAAGGCCCACCAAGGCGACGAUCCGUAGCUGGUCUGAGAGGAUGAUCAGCCACACUGGAACUGAGUCACGGUCCAGACUCCUACGGGAGGCAGCAGUGGGGAAUAUUGGACAAUGGGCGCAAGCCUGAUCCAGCCAUACCGCGUGGGUGAAGAAGGCCUUCAGGUUGUAAAGCCCUUUUGUUGGGAAAGAAAAGCAGCAGGUUAAUACCCCGCUGUUCUGACGGUACCCAAAGAAUAAGCACCGGCUAACUUCGUG